Molecule: ribosomal RNA, 439 nt
Filed under: uncultured bacterium
Lineage: Bacteria
Description: partial 16S ribosomal RNA
Rfam family: Bacterial small subunit ribosomal RNA
Source: RNAcentral
CUACGGGUCGCUGCAGUGGGGAAUAUUGCACAAUGGAGGAAACUCUGAUGCAGCAACGCCGCGUGGAGGAUGACACUUUUCGGAGCGUAAACUCCUUUUAUAUAGGAAGAAGAUGACGGUACUAUAUGAAUAAGCGCCGGCUAACUCCGUGCCAGCAGCCGCGGUAAUACGGAGGGCGCAAGCGUUACGCGGAAUCACUGGGCGUAAAGAGCGUGUAGGCGGAUUAAAAAGUCAGAAGUGAAAUCCUAUAGCUUAACUAUAGAACUGCUUCUGAAACUCUUAAUCUAGAAUAUGGGAGAGGUAGAUGGAAUUUCUGGUGUAGGGGUAAAAUCCGUAGAGAUCAGAAGGAAUACCGAUUGCGAAGGCGAUCUACUAGAACAUUAUUGACGCUGAGACGCGAAAGCGUGGGGAGCAAACAGGAUUAGAUACCCGCGUAGCC